CUUGCAAACUAUGAAUAAGAAGUCCUGCCUGCCCUGUGACUAUAUGUUUAACGGCUGCGGUAUCCUGACCGUACGAAGGUAGCGCAAUCACUUGUCUUUUAAAUAGAGACCUGUAUGAAUGGCAAAACGAGGGCUCAACUGUCUCCUUUCUCAAGUCAAUGAAAUUGAUCUCCCCGUGCAGAAGCGGGGAUAAACCCAUAAGACGAGAAGACCCUAUGGAGCUUUAGAUGCAAGGACAGAUCACGUUAAGCACCUCUUAACAAAGAACCAAACCGAACGAACCCUGUCCCAGUAUCUUUGGUUGGGGCGACCGCGAGGAAAAACAAAACCCCCGCAUGGACUGAGGACACACCAUUCUCCCCUCUCCUCACAGCUAAGAGCUUCCACUCUAAGAACCAGAACUUCUGACCUACAAAGAUCCGGCAAUGCCGAUCAACGGACCCAGUUACCCUAGGGAUAACAGCGCAAUCCCCUUUUAGAGCCCAUAUCGACAAGGGGGUUUACGACCUCGAUGUUGGAUCAGGACAUCCUAAUGGUGCAGCCGCUAUUAAGGGUUCGUUUGUUCAACGAUUA
RNAcentral lists this ribosomal RNA (573 nucleotides) under Selenotoca multifasciata. RNAcentral's name for it is "partial 16S small subunit ribosomal RNA". It matches the Rfam family "Bacterial large subunit ribosomal RNA", at positions 1822 to 2590 of the family's 2925-position model. The record is from RNAcentral. Lineage: Eukaryota; Metazoa; Chordata; Actinopteri; Scatophagidae.